AUACGGAGGGUGCAAGCGUUAAUCGGAAUUACUGGGCGUAAAGGGUUCGUAGGCGGGUAUUUAAGUCAGAUGUGAAAGCCCCGGGCUCAACCUGGGAAUUGCAUCUGAUACUGGGUAACUAGAGUUUAGGAGAGGAGUGUGGAAUUUCCGGUGUAGCGGUGAAAUGCAUAGAGAUCGGAAGGAACAUCAGUGGCGAAGGCGGCACUCUGGCUUAAAACUGACGCUGAGGAACGAAAGCGUGGGUAGCAAACAGGAUUAGAAACCCUAGUAGUCC
This 274-nucleotide ribosomal RNA is filed under the name uncultured bacterium. RNAcentral's name for it is "partial 16S ribosomal RNA". It matches the Rfam family "Bacterial small subunit ribosomal RNA", at positions 523 to 796 of the family's 1533-position model. The record is from RNAcentral.